AGCAUAUCAAUAAGCGGAGGAAAAGAAACCAACAGGGAUUGCCCCAGUAACGGCGAGUGAAGCGGCAACAGCUCAAAUUUGAAAUCUGGCCUCCGGGUCCGAGUUGUAAUUUGUAGAGGAUGCUUUUGGCGAGGUGCCUUCCGAGUUCCCUGGAACGGGACGCCAUAGAGGGUGAGAGCCCCGUCUGGUCGGACACCGAGCCUCUGUAAAGCUCCUUCGACGAGUCGAGUAGUUUGGGAAUGCUGCUCAAAAUGGGAGGUAUAUGUCUUCUAAAGCUAAAUAUUGGCCAGAGACCGAUAGCGCACAAGUAGAGUGAUCGAAAGAUGAAAAGCACUUUGAAAAGAGGGUUAAAAAGUACGUGAAAUUGUUGAAAGGGAAGCGCCUAUGACCAGACUUGGGCCCGGUGAAUCAUCCAGCGUUCUCGCUGGUGCACUUUGCCGGGCACAGGCCAGCAUCAGUUUGGCGCGGGGGAAAAAGGUUUUGGGAAUGUGGCUCCCUCGGGAGUGUUAUAGCCCAUUGCGUAAUACCCUGCGCCGGACUGAGGUACGCGCAUCGCAAGGAUGCUGGCGUAAUGGUCAUCAGCGACCCGUCUUGAAACACGGACCAAGGAGUCGUCUUCGUAUGCGAGUGUUCGGGUGUCAAACCCCUACGCGUAAUGAAAGUGAACGCAGGUGAGAGCUUCGGCGCAUCAUCGACCGAUCCUGAUGUUCUCGGAUGGAUUUGAGUAAGAGCAUACGGGGCCGGACCCGAAAGAAGGUGAACUAUGCCUGUAUAGGGUGAAGCCAGAGGAAACUCUGGUGGAGGCUCGCAGCGGUUCUGACGUGCGAAUCGAUCGUCAAAUAUGGGCAUGGGGGCGAAAGACUAAUCGA
This 869-nucleotide ribosomal RNA is filed under the name Cordyceps farinosa. Its description in RNAcentral is "partial large subunit ribosomal RNA". It matches the Rfam family "Eukaryotic large subunit ribosomal RNA", at positions 37 to 938 of the family's 3401-position model. Lineage: Eukaryota; Fungi; Ascomycota; Sordariomycetes; Hypocreales; Cordycipitaceae. The record is from RNAcentral.